CAGAAAGGAGGAGAUAGGUAUGGCUAAGGAAAAGGAGCACAUUAAUGUUGCCUUCAUAGGGCAUGUGGACCACGGAAAGAGCACUCUGAUUGGAAGGCUGCUCUACGAAACGGGUGAGAUUCCGGAGCACAUCAUCGAGAAAAUGAGGAAAGAGGCUCAGGAGAAGGGCAAAGCCACCUUCGAGUU
This 186-nucleotide small RNA is filed under the name Archaeoglobus fulgidus. Lineage: Archaea; Methanobacteriati; Methanobacteriota; Archaeoglobi; Archaeoglobales; Archaeoglobaceae. The record is from RNAcentral.